This 465-nucleotide ribosomal RNA is filed under the name Vreelandella stevensii. RNAcentral's name for it is "partial 16S ribosomal RNA". It matches the Rfam family "Bacterial small subunit ribosomal RNA", at positions 338 to 795 of the family's 1533-position model. Lineage: Bacteria; Pseudomonadati; Pseudomonadota; Gammaproteobacteria; Oceanospirillales; Halomonadaceae. The record is from RNAcentral.
CCUACGGGUGGCUGCAGUGGGGAAUAUUGGACAAUGGGCGAAAGCCUGAUCCAGCCAUGCCGCGUGUGUGAGGAAGGCCUUCGGGUUGUAAAGCACUUUCAGUGGGGAAGAAAGCCUUGGGGCUAAUACCCUCGAGGAAGGACAUCACCCACAGAAGAAGCACCGGCUAACUCCGUGCCAGCAGCCGCGGUAAUACGGAGGGUGCGAGCGUUAAUCGGAAUUACUGGGCGUAAAGCGCGCGUAGGCGGUCUGAUAAGCCGGUUGUGAAAGCCCCGGGCUCAACCUGGGAACGGCAUCCGGAACUGUCAGGCUAGAGGGCAGGAGAGGAAGGUAGAAUUCCCGGUGUAGCGGUGAAAUGCGUAGAGAUCGGGAGGAAUACCAGUGGCGAAGGCGGCCUUCUGGACUGACACUGACGCUGAGGUGCGAAAGCGUGGGUAGCAAACAGGAUUAGAUACCCUUGUAGUC